CAUAAAUGCAGAGGACCCCAGCUCACAGUUUGGUGCCACACCGAAAACACAGAUUCUCCACCCAGCUUCCCAGCUACCAGCCAGAUGACCUUGUUCUGGAAUCUCUCAGAGCUGCAAUUUCCUCCUCGACCUAGUGUGGACUCCGAUGUAAAGUGCCUGCUAAUUCUUAAAUUAUGAGUUACCGUACUUUUAUUUUCAGGAUUAAGUAAAGUUGGGCCUUCGCCCUUUCGGAAUUUGAAAAAUCCCAGACACAACCAGUGCUACGGGAUCCAAGUUAACCCCAGGUGAGCACAUAGAUGUAUGUCUUCAAUUCCACGUCCCUGAAGAAACUCCGGAGAGAGGGAAGAAGGAAGGAGGAGAAAAAAAAAGCUUCCUGUCACAUUGUGUUUUCCUUGCUGGGCUACUGUUGCGUUCCAGUAGGAGUCUUUAUGAACACUUGGCCUGAGCAAUUUAAGAAGGAUUCCUCAGGGCUUUGAAAAAGCCACAAACGAUCCUCACAGUGACACCACCCAGCAAGCUGGCAGACAUUGCUGACACGCACCCGGCCCGAAGCAAUGGCACGUGUCCAUGCCUUGACAACUGACGCGCAGCCGUACACCUAGUGAGAGGGAGAACAACGUCUACAAAGCAACCCCCACCGCCACCAUAAGCCACUCCAGCAGAGGUGGGACUUUAGAUUAAAUACUACCCCGUGGACUGCUAAAUAACAUAACCGGAUUUGAUUCAAAAUGUAAAGUAUGCUGGAGAGCGGUACUUCUCUACUCUCUCCUCAAGGAUCUAAAUGUAGCAAGACGGGUGUUACCAACAAAACAGUAAGUGCUCUCACUGUGCCAAUUUACUUACCAGUAUACUACACUGUGCAUACAGACAUACCUACAUGGAUCAGAGGGUCUCGCUGAUACUUAUGGUUCGGUGUCAUCUGUGGCCCGUUUCAAACUAUGCUGCAGAGCUAUCCUGCCAGAAUCGGAAAAUAUGGCCCAGAUAUGUGUCUUUUUAAAAGGCUUGACAAGGUUGGUUAGCACAGGGGAAAGAGAAAUUCUUGCAUAUCCCUGAUGAGAAUAAAAAUUAGUUCAGCCACUGUGGAGAGUAAUCU
RNAcentral lists this long non-coding RNA (1093 nucleotides) under Neogale vison (American mink). RNAcentral's name for it is "Neovison vison (American mink) lncRNA (ENSNVIG00000022802.1)". The record is from RNAcentral. Lineage: Eukaryota; Metazoa; Chordata; Mammalia; Carnivora; Mustelidae.